RNAcentral lists this ribosomal RNA (443 nucleotides) under uncultured bacterium. RNAcentral describes it as "partial 16S ribosomal RNA". It matches the Rfam family "Bacterial small subunit ribosomal RNA", at positions 338 to 795 of the family's 1533-position model. The record is from RNAcentral.
CCUACGGGUGGCAGCAGUGGGGAAUAUUGGGCAAUGGGCGCAAGCCUGACCCAGCAACGCCGCGUGAAGGAAGAAGGCUUUAGGGUUGUAAACUUCUUUUCUGAGGGACGAAGAAAGUGACGGUACCUCAGGAAUAAGCCACGGCUAACUACGUGCCAGCAGCCGCGGUAAUACGUAGGUGGCAAGCGUUAUCCGGAUUUAUUGGGUGUAAAGGGCGUGUAGGCGGGAAAGCAAGUCAGAUGUGAAAACUCAGGGCUCAACCCUGAGACUGCAUUUGAUACUGUUUUUCUUGAGUUCUGGGGAGGCAAUCGGAAUUCGGGGUGUAGCGGUGAAAUGCGUAGAUAUACGGAGGAACACCAGUGGCGAAGGCGGAUUGCUGGACAGUAACUGACGCUGAGGCGCGAAAGCGUGGGGAGCAAACAGGAUUAGAUACCCGAGUAGUC